Molecule: long non-coding RNA, 9829 nt
Organism: Sitodiplosis mosellana (orange wheat blossom midge)
Lineage: Eukaryota; Metazoa; Arthropoda; Insecta; Diptera; Cecidomyiidae
Exons: 3
Source: RefSeq, a predicted model, not a curated record
AUAAAUAUUAUAACAUUUAGUAAAUAAGGUGAAUUGUAUUAGUCUUUUAGCUUUGGAACGAAAGCAAGCCAAUCAUAUCCGCGGCAAACAAUCGCGCUGCUACUCAAAAGCAAUCGUUCAACUUAGUCAAAGAUUUUUUUUCAAUUUUUGAAGUGACGAAGACAAAAUACAAUAAAAAAAAUUGUAGAAUAAACUUUUUUGUGCAAAAAUUCAAACAGGUUGAAGCAAAGGCAGGAAACAAUGUUGGUUUUUACUGUAAUUUGUACAUUGCUUAAAAUGAAAGAGCAAAACAAUGAAUAUUUAGAUUACUUUAGUGACAAUGAAAUGAUCGAAGUGUCAAUGAAAAUAUUCAACGCCAAUUGUGUUGAUUACACAUAAUUAUUAAAUUUCUUAAAUUAAGAAAUGAAGUUUAUUCACAAAAUGUCGAUCCAGGCAAAGUACCAUGUGGAAAAAUAUGGACAUUAUUGUCGAUCUCAAUAUUUCUAACUAUUCCCGGCACCGGUAAACAUAAGUCUACCAUAGAUGAACUCUUUGAUGUUUGUUCAUUAUUACUGGCAUGAAAAAAAAUUCGGGAUUUAAUUUUGCCUGACACCGGACACCUGACACGAUUUUGAUUAAGAGGUUUGAAAGAGAAAAAUUGAGAAAUAUUUCUCGGUCAUUUUGUUAAGCAGCCUAUUUAAUAUUGAUUUCAUUAAAAAAAUUGACUUCUUCAAUAUUCCGUUACUAUCAAUUUCAAUUAAUAUACAGGGGUCGUACAAUUUUAUUGAAAUUUCUUAUAUUUGUGAUAUGUUAAAAGUAAAAUUGUAAGUUAAAUGUCACUAUGAAUAGAGAAUAAUACGAGUGAUCAAUAAGAGACAAUAUUCAUUCAAUAAAUUUUCACAUGAUUCAUCAUAUAAUACACAUAUGUAUAUGUUUGGAGCGAAUUUAAUUUAAACGAUAAUUCAUUCAUUGUAAUUUAUUAUUAUAACACAAUAAAAGUAAAGUGCCAAAAUCAAGCGUUCUUUGUUGCUUUUUUUCAAACGAAGAUUUCAGAUUUAAUUUUAAUAAUCAUGUGUAGGUCAUUGUAUUUUGCAUUGCAGAACCAUGGAUUUAUUCGAUAUUCUUAAGACAAGAUAGAAUUUUUUACACAAAAAAAUUUAGUGGCGUACGUGAUACGCGGCAGAAUUUUUCAGCGCCGAUAUUCAGAUCAAUAUAAUUAAUCAUGAUUGCCAACGGGACUUAUAAUACAACAACUUAUUGGCAACUGAUAACGACACAAAGAAGUGGCAAAAGUUGUGAAACUGGAAAAUGAUACACGCAACUUGAAAAACGACUCAACUUAAAACAGAACACUACUCCUCAAGAGAGUUUAUUUACGCGGCCUGCAUGUACCCAUUUUAAUUUUGAUAAUUCAUAAUAUAAAUAUAAAUAUAUUCUAUCAUGGAACUCUUGAAAUUGAUAUACAGUUAUUUAGCUUCCGAAAUCGUUCCAAUUUCACAAUUUAAGUUUUUGCUAAAUAUGAAAUAUUGCCAAUUAUUGAGGCAGUGGCUUUAAUUAAUAAUUAAUACAUCGUUUCGGUGGCAUUUAUAUAGGGAAAAAACUUAACCAAAGAUUAAUCUAUACGAUAACGAGCAUCUUCAUUUCAUGUAAACCAGUUUACUUUGUCAUACGUUUCGUGAGAACGUAUGUGUGCGCUUGAAAAAUAUAUAAUACGUAUAUGGGCUGUUUCUGUUUCAUUUUGAGUAUAGUUUUUUUUAUUUCUUAGUGACACAUUUUCUCAAAGCUUCGAUUUUGUUUCACUUCAUUUCUGAACAGCUGACUGUUUUUGAAAUGCCAAGCAAGAAAAAACAAGUAAUCUAUUCAUGUUGCUAUUAAUAUGAUAUCAACGAAUCGAUUUUCACAGGUAGAACAAAAAUAAGUUUGGAUUUUUUCUUAGUGUUUCAUGUGAACCUAGAUUUCAAACCAUAAGAACUUUUAAUGUAACAUUAUUACUUGACAAUUUCGACGCUACGUUGCUGAACAGCUGACUCUAUUCAAAAUGUCAAAAAAGAGAAUGCGGCCAUUCAGUUUGUCUUGCUAAGAUAUCAACAACUUGAUUGACAUAGUGUAUGGUAGAGUAAAAUAUGGAUAUUUGCUUUUGGAUAACCGAUCGUUCGUAAAUUUCAUCAUUCGGCAAAGCUCAAACGUGACAGAACACAAGUGAGAGCGAAUUUGCGUAAAUAAUUCACAAUGAGGAAGUCCGAAAAUUCAGCAUUGUCACUGAAGACAAAAACAUUGCCACAACUAUUUGUUUUCUUUUAUUAAUUUGCAGAAAAUUGCAACUAUUCUGCUACUGAAGAAUACUAUGAAAAAGUGUACCAAACGAAUCUCAUCCCAAGAAAAGAAGAUGGACUUAAGCAAGCAAUUUCCCGACAAAAGGUGCCAUUGGAAUCAAAUUUUUGAAUUAAAAUAGUCAAUAAUAUAUUUGUCUGUGCGGAAACAAAGCGCCAGACUCAUAAGAAAUUCAUGCAGCUACUAUCAUGAAAUAGGAACGGUCUUGAAAAUAAAUGGUCUGACUCUUAGGUCAUAUUCUGUAAUAAUAAACAAACGUUUAUGAAAUUUUCUCUCCAUCAAUUGUUAGAGUCACCACCGCAUUAAAAUACUACGAUGGAAUAAAUGCAUCGACAAGUUAGUCAAACUGUAUGAAUCGACGAAAACGAUCUAGAAAAAAAACCGACAUUUCGAAGAAUUAUCAGUCUUUUUGAAUAAUUUGGACGAUUUGAUGCGAGAACCCGAAGUCAUCAUAUCAAAUGUGUCAAAAUCUACAUGAUUAUAAAACGUUACGCUGAGAAGUCAACGGUUCAUGUCAUUUAGGAGAAUUUACGAAGAUAUUAAAGACGUAGCGCAUCCAAAUCAAGGAAAUGUAGGCUCUUGAAAUUAUGUGAAAUGUAGGCCACGAUGCUAAAGUCCAGAAUAUUAAAAUCUGUAAUCUGCAAAAGCAGUGUUCGAGCCUAACUAGAGCCAUUGAUUGAACUUUUUAAUUUUUCGAAUACUUAUGAAAAAAAUUCAAAAAAGGUACUUUUAUAUGGGGUUUUCGCCUAUGUUGUUAUUUUUUUCUCGAAAAAACGGAGGUUUUGUAACAACGGAAAAAACACAUUUACCACAUUUUGAAAGAUAGGGUUCAUGGUUCAUUAACCCGAAGAACAAAUAUGUUCCGUUCUGAAUAGUCCUAACUUUUCUUUAAAGUAAUGGAAAAUGAUUUCAAAAACAGCACAACAACAAUGUUUAAGUAGCUUUCAGUCCAUGAAUAUAAUUUAUAUUUAUUUUUUGAUUUGUGAACUAGAUUAAUUGCUUCUGUGUGAUUUUUUUCAUUUUUAUAUUUAUAUCAUGUCAAGUUUUUGUUACUACCCAUUUUGCGCAUAAAAACACUUUUUGUGGCAUUUUAGAAUUUUUAAUUUUUCUCAUUUCAAAUUUCCAAAAGCUGUGGUAUACGGUGACCAAUUUCUAGUUGGUUUUUCAAGGAUAUAUAUGUUUCAACGAUACCGCACCCUAUUUAGUGCAAAAUAUGUCAUUUCUCUUUUUUUCACUCGAAUCGUUUGACUAAUACCUUAAUGUUUUAUAUUCCUUCAGCUCGAACUAUUCGACAAUUCGACAAUUCGACAAUCAAUUUUCGAAACAAUAAAUUGCACUACUUUUUACUUUCAUAACUUAUUUGAAUUUAUUUUCAUUCCGACAUUAUUAAAGUCAAUUAUUUCAUAAAAUUAUUUUAAAAUAGAUUCGAUGCGAUGGCCUCAAACUUUUUAAUCAACAAUGUAUACACACAAAAUGGUUUUCGUUCACGUAUCUCUCUUGGCAUACACAAUAUUUUUGGUACAGAUUCUUUCACACGAUUAACCUACUUUUCAUGUAUUCGCGAAUGCACCAUCAUACACUGUUAGCACACAAGGAAUUUUGAUAGUUUCAUGCGAACGUCGAUUUUAGAAGCAAUUUAAAGGCCAAUCAGGUCCAUAUCCAUUUCGAUGAUAGUUUAUUGAAUCCCACAGAAAAUAUGUAUGCGGUGUUGGUCAAAUUUCAACGUUCUGAGCUAACAAAUUCUUUUUAAUAUCUCCUACUACCUUUUUGCAAAUUUUCGAACAUCAUUUUAUGUGUACAUAAGCAAUGUUUACAUCAUCUAUAGCAAAAGCGAGUAGAGGACGAAUAUAACCACAGUCAGCGUAUUACGAUAUGUCCGUCUCUCAUCAUCUCGUAUCUUACAUUUGUACCAAACGAACAAAUCCAUUUGUGCGCAUUGAAUUUUUCCAUGCUGUUCGACUUUUGGUAUUUUGCAAGCUAUUUUGUGAAAAAGUACGAGAGUGAGUGAAGAGAAAUGGAUAUUUCAAUGCGCAUGUUUGUUUUUUGACAAAAGAAUUUCCAAUUUGGAAAUAGUAUAAUUUUCCAAUUCCAUCAAACUGGAAUAUGUGAGUUUAAAAACGUUAAUAAUACUGUUUGAAAUUGUUUUUUAUUUAUUUUUAUCUUCAUUAAAGAAACAAAAACUACCACAUUUUAUAUAUUUUAUAGUAUAAAUGGUAUUUAGCUUUUAAUUUAUGAAAUGGUUUUUUUAAUUGCAUUUUUUAUUUUUUUUGUUUGUUGUCUUAUCUGCAUCGGAAUCAUUUUCAGUAUGCAUCGGCUUAAUAUUGAGAAAGAUUUGCUUUAUUUUAAAUUAUUUUUUGAAAAGGAAAGAAAAGAACAGCGAUUCGAAUUCAUGUUGCCUUUAUCUUUUUGGGGUAUGAAGUCCUCUUACUAUGAUGAUUUUAGAUAUUUAAUACCCGACAUUCACUUAGUUGUAAAGAUCAUCAUCUCCAUCGGCUUGUCGAUCUGCUUGACCACUGUUACCAGAGUUCGAAUUCCCUUGUGACGAACUGCCCGAAGGUGGAGCACCAGCAAUACCACCAGUUGGAAAACGGAAAUUCGUUCCGAAGCCACGAGAUUGUUGCAAGGUUUGAGCAAACAUUUCGUAUUUGCGGAUAUCGUUGUCACUGACAGACCGACGUGCAAAUUUCAUAGCUUCCUCGAAAUGUGCACGUGUGAUUUCUGGAACCGGAUCGUCUUCGUCCAUCUAUUAUUUAGCAAGAAGUCGUAAUUUAUUUAUAUGUGGCACGUUUUGAAUUAUUGACUGAAUUAAGGAUUUUGAAUCUACUCACAUCCAUAGCUGACUGUUGAUUUUCUGCCCGUUCGCGCUCUCGUUUGAUAUCAGCUUCAAUCGCAUGUCUGAUAGCCAAUUUACAUGCGCGUUGACAGAUUUCGGUUAAAUCUGCUCCGGAGAAGCCUUGUGUAACCUUUGCAAUGUAUGUUAAAUCAACUUCUUUGGCCAACGGACUCUUACGAAGAUUUGCCUUUAAGAUUGCUUCACGCGAUUUUUCAUCAGGCAAUGGAAUAUAAAUAAGUUGAUCCAAACGUCCUGGACGCAAGAUUGCCGAAUCGAUAAUGUCUGAAAAUGAAAGAAUAGAAACAUAUUGAAGUAAAUAAAAGUCAAAAAAGCCAAAAAAAACUAUUUUUUUUUGCAAAAAUGCUACAGCCAAUUUGUGGGAGCAAAUAAAUAACUAAAUAAUUCGUACCCGGUCGAUUCGUGGCUCCGAUAAUGAACACAUUUUUCUUUGCGCCCAUGCCAUCCAUUUCAGUUAAAAUCUGAUUGAUCACACGAUCAGCAGCACCGCCAGCAUCACCAACAUUUCCACCUCGUGAUUUAGCAAUGCUAUCCAAUUCGUCGAAGAAUAGUACACAUGGGGAUGCUGAUCGAGCCUUAUCGAAAAUGUCCCGCACAUUAGCUUCAGAUUCACCAAACCACAUGGUCAGCAAUUCGGGUCCCUUAACCGAAAUGAAAUUUGCUUGGCAUUCGUUUGCAAUUGCCUUAGCUAACAAUGUUUUACCACAACCUAAUGAAACGCAAAAGAAUUAAUUUUGAAAUUAAAUUUUAAAUUACAUCAUAAUAUAAUCUUUUACCUGGUGGCCCAUAGAAUAAGACGCCGCGUGAUGGCUGCAUGCCAAAUUUCAAGAACUUAUCUGGAUGCUCAACUGGAUAUUGAACCAGUUCUUGCAAUUCUUUUUUGACACUUUCCAAGCCACCAAUGUCAGUCCAACUUACAUUAGGCACCUCAACAACCGUUUCUCGCAAUGCUGAUGGCGAGGACUUUGUCAUUGCGUAACGGAAGUUAUCCAUAGUAACAGCCAAUGAAUUUAAUACCUCGGCAUCAAUUUGAUCGUCUUCAAGAUCAAUUAAAUCCAUUUUUUCACGAAUUUGCUGUAAAGCUGCUUCUGAACAAAGUGAUGCCAAAUCAGCUCCAACAUGGCCAUGUGAUUCAGCUGCGAUUUGUUCUAAAUCGACGUCAUCGGCUAAGCGCAUGUUUUUCGAAUGGAUUCUUAGCACCUCCAAUCGGCCAGUGGCAUCUGGUAUACCAAUGUCAAUUUCGCGGUCGAACCGUCCAAAGCGACGAAGUGCUGGAUCAAUUGAAUUUGGUCGAUUUGUUGCUGCCAUAACAAUGACGUGUGAGCUCUUCUUCAUUCCGUCCAUCAAAGUUAAUAGUUGCGACACAAUACGACGCUCCACUUCUCCGUGUGUCUUUUCACGUUUUGGUGCUAUAGCAUCUAGUUCAUCGAUGAAAAUAAUAGCCGGUGAAUUUUUUUCGGCUUCCUCGAAAGCUUUCCGUAAAUUCGAUUCAGAUUCACCAGCCAAUUUGGACAUGAUUUCAGGACCAUUGAUCAAAAAGAAAAAUGCGCCGGUUUCAUUAGCCACGGCACGAGCAAUCAAUGUUUUACCUGAAAAAUGAAUAGAUAGAAAUAAAUUGUGGACUAUGUUAAAGGAUUCAAAGGCAAUUAAUGAUAGAAUUUUGAUGAAAGUAAAUACCAAGUACCUGUUCCUGGUGGACCGUACAUUAAAAUUCCACGUGGUGGUUUCACACCGAUCGCCUUAAACAGCGAAGGAUGUCUCAGUGGAAGUUCAACCAUUUCUUUGAUCUGAGCCAAUUGUUUACGACAACCACCAAUGUCAUCGUAGCCUACUGCAUUCAAAGCUUCUUCUUCCUCUUCACGUUUGAUUGGAUCGCCUUCGCAAUGUAAAACUGUUUCCGGGGCUACAAUACAAUAUGGUGAUGGAUCAGUACCUACCACCUUAAAUUCGACGGCUCGCAUUCCACCGCGCACUAAGAAAGUAUCAUCUUUGUGAAUGGGACGAUAUGCUUCAAGGAAGUAGGGUUUCAAAUACACCUCAAACACAUUCCUAAUUCAAAUAAUAUAAUAGCUUAUUUGGGAACGUUCGCUAAAUUUAUUCAAAUCUAUACUAACCCAGUUAAACCUUCGACAGUGUCAUCGAUAGGCAAAAUGUGCACUCGACUGCCAUAUUUGACAUCUGGACAUGAUUGAAUCGAAACAACAUCACCCAGACGAACGCGUAAAUUGUUACGCACGACGCGAUUCAUACGAAUCUUCUCAUCCGGACAGUUGUCGUCGGAAAGAACAAUACAAACGGUUUCCUUGCGCCGUUUUCCCUUCAGUAGAACAGUAUCGCCUCGGAACAAACGGAGCUCAUCCAUUUUCGCCUGUGACAAUGAUACCACUGAAUUGUCAUCAUUAACUGCUUCCUCAACCAAUAAACGGUUUGGGCGAUCUUUACGCUUCAAAAUUGCGGUUGCCAAAUCAUCACUGUGAAAAUGCAAUCAAAAUGAAACAAAUAAAUACACAUAAAAGCGAUGUAAUUUUUUUCAGAAGAGAAUAGAAAAAAAAACAGAUCAGAUAAGGAAGCUUGACUUAUUUAACCUCACAUUUUAUGCAUGACCGACAAAAUUCAUUAAAAACAUGAUAUAACAUAAAAUAUUUUAGACAAUAAAAAGAAAAAGUGCGAGAUAAGUUCAAUAGUUUAUCUUUGACUUUUGUAACACUUUUUGUCGUUGUAAUAUAGUUAAAUUUCGAUAAGAAGACUUUUUACACAGGAAAAUAUUUUGUGUAUAACAAUCACAAGCAAAAAAUUGUUGAACGAAAAAGUUCAGAUUUAUUUGUCUAAAGCCGUCGUAGGAGUUCUUUUACCGGUUUCAAUAAAUGUUUGUGUAAUUUAAUUCAAUUCUGUAUUUAGGAAAGGAUGCUGCUUUUUGUUUGGUUUUGUUUAAUAUACCUCUUAUGAUCAACCAUAUUUGUUAAAGUUUUUGUUCGAAAUUUAAUGAGAAAAAAAUCGAAUGAAUGAGAACUUGUAAAUAUGUUGUUUCAAAUGAAAAAGCAAAACUUUAGUGAAAUCGAAUGAUGAUGACCUGAACUAACUAACAAUGUACACUCAGCAAAGCUAAAAGUGGAGUUAUUCCGGCCUUUAUUGUCAGAUGACAAAACAUUCAGAACAUGUACUAAAAUGAUUCAGCAAUCGGCAGCGACAAUAUUAUGCCAUUACUUUUCAAAUGAUGCAGCUUUACACAAACUAUUUCAUCCAUAAAUUUCAAAAGGAAACUUUUCCACAUAAUGGAAAAUGGAAUUCGAUCUAUAUAAUAAUUACUAUUUAUAUUUCAUUUGUGGAUAAAAUAUUUUUAAAAAAAUUAUGGGCAAUAUGCAACAAAGCAUUUUUUGUAUAAAUAAUUAUUUCAACACCAUUGUUGCGUUUCAAAUUGCGUUUGUAUCGGGGAUUAGAACAAAUCAACUAAAAUCUCUCUACUCAUUACCCUUUAUGAUCAGCCAUUUUCGUCUCAAAGAUUAUCUUAAAUUGUAGAUGACUUUAAUGAAAAAUUAUGUUUUAAUAUUUAUUUAAUUUUAUUUUUUAUGUUUGAUGGAUAUUUCAAAUGAAACUUUAUUCGAAAAGGAGUUUAUAAUUUAUACACUGUAUUUCAAUAAAAAUUAUAUCGCUAAAUAACGAACUGCAAAUAUAUCCAAUAAACUUGUCUUCGGAACUGAACUGUAAUGAACGCUCAACGAUGACAAUCCAAAAUUCAUAUUCUCAUGAAUGACAUUUAGUAUGAUAGCCUUUGGUAUUGCCGUAUUGAACUAACACGUAGUCACUCUACUGGCGGUGUACUAAAGUAAUGGCCGGUUUACAAUUUGUGGUUAGCUGAAAACUUUCCAAAAAAAUACGUGCAUAGUAUAAGAUAUUACUAGAUUAAUUGCUUCUGUGGAAUUUAUUUCAUCUUCAUAUCAUGUCAAAUUUUUAGUAUUACCCGUUUUCUGCAUUUAUUUAUUUAUGUGAAAAAUAAAAUAAGUAAUACCAAAUUUACUUAUUUUACAAAGAAAAGUAGGUACUAUUUUAGGACCAAACAUAGAUUGUAUAAAAACACUUUUUACGAAAAAGAAAUAUUUUAAAAGCUUUAAUUUUUCUUUAUUUAAAAUUAACAAAUAUUUUGAGACAUAAUAACUAAUUUUAUAUGAUUUUUUUACAAAUGAUAAUAACAAAAAAAUGAUCACAUUAUUUUAAUCUAGUCUUUUAGUCUUUUCAGGUAACUGUAGCUCUCGAUGCUCUUGCCACUUUUUUAUUGCUCCUCGCUUAUUUUUACAGUUUGCAUAGUAUUUUUGGUGUUUCUAGGGCCCAAACGCUUUUCACUUCUUUAUUUGCCACUAAGUUUUGUAAGUGUCUUUCAUCUGGAGAUAUAGAAAAUGGAAAUUCAGUUUAUCAAUAAUACUAAUCAGAAAUAUCAAAAUAUCUUAUUCAUCAAUAAAAAUAUACAUACCCUUUGAUUUUCCAUAUUGUUGGAGAAUUGGAAAAAUUUCAUAAACUGGUACUGACAUAUUAAUGUUAGGAUAAAUCAGCUGAUAAGCAUCAUCUUUUGAAUUCGAUACGGUGAUACCGAUCAAAUGACCAUCAUCUGUGAACAUUGGCCCACUGUGAACAUUAUUUAAAUAAAAAUAAACCAAUUUUAUAUUAUUGUAUAAA